UACGGAGGGUGCAAGCGUUAUCCGGAUUCACUGGGUUUAAAGGGUGCGUAGGUGGGUCUGUAAGUCAGUGGUGAAAUCUCCGUGCUUAACAUGGAAACUGCCAUUGAUACUAUAGGUCUUGAAUUUUCUGGAGGUCAGCGGAAUAUGUCAUGUAGCGGUGAAAUGCUUAGAUAUGACAUAGAACACCAAGUGCGAAGGCAGCUGGCUACAGGGAUAUUGACACUGAGGCACGAAAGCGUGGGGAUCAAACAGG
Molecule: ribosomal RNA, 253 nt
Filed under: uncultured bacterium
Lineage: Bacteria
Description: partial 16S ribosomal RNA
Rfam family: Bacterial small subunit ribosomal RNA
Source: RNAcentral